GAAGCACCUGCCUAACCUCCGUCCUAGCAGCGCGUCAUUCCGAGGGUGGCAAGCCCUAAUCGGAAUUACUUGGCGUAAAGCGCACGCAGGCGGUCUGUUAAGUCAAGAAUGUGAAUCCCCCGGGCCUUAACCUGGAACUGCAUUGAAACUGGCAGGCUUGAGUCUCGUAGAGGGGGGUAGAAUUACAGGUGUAGCGGUGAAAUGCGUAGAGAUCUGGAGGAAUACCGGUGGCGAAGGCGGCCCCCUGGACGAAGACUGACGCUCAGGUGCGAAAGCGUGGGGAGCAAACAGGAUUAGAUACCCCUGGUAGUCCACGCCGUAAACGAUGUCGACUUGGAGGUUGUGCCCCUUGAGGCGUGGCUUCCGGAGCUAACGCGUUAAAGUCGACCGCCUGGGGAGUACGGCCGCAAGGUUAAAACUCAAAAUGAAUUGACGGGGGCCCGCACAAGCGGUGGAGCAUGUGGUUUAAUUCGAUGCAACGCGAAGAACCUUACCUGGCCUUGACAUCCAGAGAACUUAGCAGAGAUGCUUUGGUGCCUUCGGGAACUCUGAGACAGGUGCUGCAUGGCUGUCGUCAGCUCGUGUUGUGAAAUGUUGGGUUAAGUCCCGCAACGAGCGCAACCCUUAUCCUUUGUUGCCAGCGAUUCGGUCGGGAACUCAAAGGAGACUGCCGGUGAUAAACCGGAGGAAGGUGGGGAUGACGUCAAGUCAUCAUGGCCCUUACGGCCAGGGCUACACACGUGCUACAAUGGCGCAUACAAAGAGAAGCGACCUCGCGAGAGCAAGCGGACCUCAUAAAAUGCGUCGUAGUCCGGAUUGGAGUCUGCAACUCGACUACAUGAAGUCGGAAUCGCUAGUAAUCGUAGAUCAG
Molecule: ribosomal RNA, 871 nt
Filed under: Pantoea dispersa
Lineage: Bacteria; Pseudomonadati; Pseudomonadota; Gammaproteobacteria; Enterobacterales; Erwiniaceae
Description: bacterial SSU rRNA
Rfam family: Bacterial small subunit ribosomal RNA
Source: RNAcentral